This 274-nucleotide ribosomal RNA is filed under the name uncultured bacterium. RNAcentral describes it as "partial 16S ribosomal RNA". It matches the Rfam family "Bacterial small subunit ribosomal RNA", at positions 523 to 796 of the family's 1533-position model. The record is from RNAcentral.
AUACGGAGGGUCCGAGCGUUAUCCGGAAUCAUAGGGUUUAAAGGGUCCGUAGGCGGGAAUCUAAGUCAGUGGUGAAAUCUUGCAGCUCAACUGUAAAAUUGCCAUUGAUACUGGAUUUCUUGAAUUAGUGUGAAGUGGUUAGAAUGUGUAGUGUAGCGGUGAAAUGCAUAGAUAUUACACAGAAUACCAAUUGCGAAGGCAGAUCACUAACACUAUAUUGACGCUGAGGGACGAAAGCGUGGGGAGCGAACAGGAUUAGAAACCCCGGUAGUCC